UUUCCGUAGGUGAACCUGCGGAAGGAUCAUUACAAAUCGUAUCGUAAAGUCAAAGAAAAGAGGUUUAGCUGUUUUCUUUGAUUUUUUCUGAUAAAUAUUCGCACGAGUGUGGGGAUGUUGAGUUUGAUUUAGUUGAUUUGAUUGAUUAGAUUUAGAUUUAGUUGAUUUGAUUGAUUAGAUUUAGAUUUAGUUGAUUUGAUUCGAUUACAAUCCAACUCACACCCACACCCAUGUCCACGCUUGUUUGUUUGACAGAGUUAAAUUGACAUUUAAAGUAUACAACUUUUAACAACGGAUCUCUAGGCUCUU
Molecule: unclassified non-coding RNA, 309 nt
Filed under: plant metagenome
Description: partial contains small subunit ribosomal RNA, internal transcribed spacer 1, and 5.8S ribosomal RNA
Source: RNAcentral